Molecule: transfer RNA, 77 nt
Filed under: Zebrias quagga (fringefin zebra sole)
Lineage: Eukaryota; Metazoa; Chordata; Actinopteri; Pleuronectiformes; Soleidae
Description: tRNA-Thr
Rfam family: tRNA
About the family: Transfer RNA (tRNA) molecules are approximately 80 nucleotides in length.
Source: RNAcentral
GCACUAGUAGCUCAGCAAGAACUCAGAGCGCCGGCUUUGUAAUCCGGAGGACGGAAGUUAACUACCUCCCUGCUGCU